Long non-coding RNA from Leptinotarsa decemlineata (Colorado potato beetle), 917 nucleotides. NCBI's taxonomy places the organism in Eukaryota, Metazoa, Arthropoda, Insecta, Coleoptera, Chrysomelidae. The record is from RefSeq and is a predicted model, not a curated record.
UGACAGUUCAUGUCAUUUCGACAUCUGGAAACUUCAGAAAGAAAACGUAUCUUCCUUCUUUUCUUGGUUUUGGACCAGACACGGGAAGAACAUCGCAAUUUUGCGGAUUUGAAAGAAGGUUUCAAAGUAUUCAUGAAUCGACAAUUGAUUUAUCUCAAGGGAGAUAAUCAAUUAUCUACUGUCGUAGGAUUUAUGUAGGAAUUACUCGAAACUUUCAAAUUGAAGUUUACCUUGUCGAAGAACUCGGACAUCUCAAAAGGCCACACUCCAUCUCAGGCUUUCAUUUUCCAUUUGCCUGUUCAUUGCUAACUGAUAACGCCCAACUUUGAGAAUAGCGGUUGAUCUCCACUUCUUGGACUCCUAGAUGACUCACCACUGUUGGUAGCGACAUAAAAGUGGAUGAUCGUAAGCCUCAUGUCUCAAAGAAGGUAAUAUCGUUCCUUUUUAUCGUUCAUUUUGGUCUGAACGGGACGUAUUGGCAUCACAGAAGUACCAUCACUACCAAAACUGUCAGCGUUACUGCGCAACCCACUUCAUCUAGCUGAAAAGUAUCUACUUUCACUUAGUAUCAAUUAUAUUAGUUUAGUGUAUUGUGUUGAAAUUUUAAAACUUUGCUACUUAAAACUUUAAGCAACUGUAAACCGACGGUAUGCAUACUAGUUGAAUUGCAUACAUUAGUUGAAUUAGACAACGAAGAAAUUAUUGUGACAAAAUCCUUCAUUUUAAUAUCAUUUAUUUUUCCUUGUGAAUAAAUCAAAUUUUGUAGAUUGAUCACGGAAGUUAGAACUGACAAUCUUCGUUAUAAUGUUUCUUUACCUUUUAUUAUUGUUGAAAAAAUUAUUGUCUUUCUUUAUUUUUGAACAACGCUCUCUUUCCCAUAACGAUCAUCAAUAAAAUAUUCGAAAAUUAAUUUACAA